This 594-nucleotide ribosomal RNA is filed under the name uncultured soil bacterium. Its description in RNAcentral is "bacterial SSU rRNA". It matches the Rfam family "Bacterial small subunit ribosomal RNA", at positions 28 to 614 of the family's 1533-position model. The record is from RNAcentral.
GAUUAACGCUAGCGGCACGCAUAAUACAUGCGAGUUGAACGGCAUCACAGGUAGCAAUACUGGGUGGCGAGUGGCGCACGGGUGCGUAACACGUAUGCAACCUACCCUAUACAGGCGAAUAACCUUUAGAAAUGAGGGCUAAUACGCCGUAGUAUUACAGAUGGGCAUCUAUUUGUAAUUAAAGAUUUAUCGGUAUAGGAUGGGCAUGCGUCCCAUUAGUUAGUUGGUAAGGUAACGGCUUACCAAGACAAUGAUGGGUAGGGGAUCUGAGAGGACUUACCCCCACACUGGUACUGAGACACGGACCAGACUCCUACGGGAGGCAGCAGUAAGGAAUAUUGGGCAAUGGGCGGGAGCCUGACCCAGCCAUGCCGCGUGCAGGAAGACGGCCUUAUGGGUUGUAAACUGCUUUUAUACGGGAAUAAUAGAGUGUACUAGUACGCUUAUGCAAGUAUCGUAUGAAUAAGCAUCGGCUAACUCCGUGCCAGCAGCCGCGGUAAUACCGGAGGAUGCGAGCGUUAUCCGGGAUUUAUUGGGUUUAAAGGGUGCGCAAGGCGGAUUUAUAAGUCAGUGGUGAAACACUCCGGCUCAACU